AUUCGACUGACGAGUCCCAUAUAAGACGAAACGCCUGUCCUGGAU
This 45-nucleotide non-coding RNA is filed under the name Schistosoma mattheei. The record is from RNAcentral. Lineage: Eukaryota; Metazoa; Platyhelminthes; Trematoda; Strigeidida; Schistosomatidae.